CAGUCGCCACGGGAAUACGUAGGUGGCAAGCGUUGUCCGGAAUUAUUGAGCGUAAAGGGCUCGCAGGCGGUUUCUUAAGUCUGAUGUGAAAGCCCCCGGCUCAACCGGGGAGGGUCAUUGGAAACUGGGAAACUUGAGUGCAGAAGAGGAGAGUGGAAUUCCACGUGUAGCGGUGAAAUGCGUAGAGAUGUGGAGGAACACCAGUGGCGAAGGCGACUCUCUGGUCUGUAACUGACGCUGAGGAGCGAAAGCGUGGGGAGCGAACAGGAUUAGAGACCCCCGUAGUCCCUGUCUCUUAUAC
RNAcentral lists this ribosomal RNA (301 nucleotides) under uncultured bacterium. RNAcentral describes it as "partial 16S ribosomal RNA". It matches the Rfam family "Bacterial small subunit ribosomal RNA", at positions 509 to 807 of the family's 1533-position model. The record is from RNAcentral.